This 459-nucleotide ribosomal RNA is filed under the name uncultured bacterium. RNAcentral's name for it is "partial 16S ribosomal RNA". It matches the Rfam family "Bacterial small subunit ribosomal RNA", at positions 338 to 795 of the family's 1533-position model. The record is from RNAcentral.
CCUACGGGAGGCAGCAGUGGGGGAUAUUGCACAAUGGAGGAAACUCUGAUGCAGCGACGCCGCGUGAGGGAAGACGGUCUUCGGAUUGUAAACCUCUUUUGUCAGGGAGCAACGCCGGCUACGUGUAGCCGGACUGAGAGUACCUGAAGAAAAAGCAUCGGCUAACUCCGUGCCAGCAGCCGCGGUAAUACGGAGGAUGCGAGCGUUAUCCGGAUUUAUUGGGUUUAAAGGGUGCGUAGGCGGAAUGCCAAGUCAGCGGUAAAAUCGCGGGGCUCAACCUCGCUCCGCCGUUGAAACUGGCGUUCUUGAGUGGGCGAGAAGUAUGCGGAAUGCGUGGUGUAGCGGUGAAAUGCAUAGAUAUCACCCAGAACUCCGAUUGCGAAGGCAGCAUACCGGCGCCCAACUGACGCUGAAGCACGAAAGCGUGGGUAUCGAACAGGAUUAGAUACCCCUGUAGUC